AGCGCUGCUACGGGCCGCCCAGCGAAAGGCACCAUCCACCUCCUUCUGAACCUGCCGCUUCUGACAUCGUGCAUCGCCCUCCCGCUUUCCGUUCUCGAUCCGCAGAACGACCCGGGCCUCUUCCCGGCACUUGGCCAUCGCCCGUCCCUACCGUCGCGCUCCGGCCGCCGGGGCCUAACAAGCUCAGGACGAGAUGGCCGCCGCCCAGGCGCUGCAGCGGCACCAGCCCUCGGCUCCUGCCCCGUCUGCGUGUCUGUGCGCUUGGGCCGCGGGUCACUGCCGCGAGGGCCGAAAACCUACCGGCACAAGGCUGCUUCGGCUCCCGGGGCAGCCGGGGAGCGGAGGCCUGCCUCUCCCGGGCGGGUUAAGGCGAGCCCGUUCCCCCAGCCUCAGGCCUCCCGCGCGUCCCCCCGCUCGCCUGACAACCGCCAAGGGCGCUUCCCGCUCCCCACCCGCCCCCAGGACGGCGCGGCGGCCCGGCAGGCCCCCCCCCCGCCCCAGCCCCGGCGGUACCUGCGCGGCGGCGGGCGGCGGCCCCCGCUCGUACAGCGCGGCGGGCGCCCGGGUGCGCGGGUCGAGCGGGGUGCGGAGGCAGGAGGCGGCCAGCAGCGCCGCGCGGUGAGCCGCCUCCAUGGCGGCCGCUCAGCCCCGCCGGCGGCGGCGGGCAGGCAGGGGAGCCCAGGAGGGAAGGCGGGAGGCUCCCGCUCCGCCUCCGCCGGGCGGAAGAGGAGCGCUUUACCCGCCGCGGGGGCGGAGGGGCCCGGCCGGUUCCGCUCAGGGCUCUGCCGGCAGAGCCCGUUGGAGAGGCGGCAGCGGCCGGCGGCCAACGCGAGCCUUCUGCCAGGCAGGCACCCUCCCUCCGCUCCCGGUGCGGGACCGGCGCUGCCCCGUCCUCCUCGAGCGCCUGCGAGGAGGAGGAGGAGGAGGAGGAGAAGGGGGGGGGGGUGCGGCUGGAGUCCGUCACCCGUCCGCAUCCGCAACGCUUGGUCGCUGCUGUGCUCCUCUGCGUGCUGGCCGCACCCAUCUUCAGGUAACUUUCUGCGGGAUUUCACCCGGAACUCCCAACUCUCUCCUUGA
This 1077-nucleotide long non-coding RNA is filed under the name Accipiter nisus (Eurasian sparrowhawk). RNAcentral's name for it is "lncRNA (ENSANIG00000013832.1)". The record is from RNAcentral. Lineage: Eukaryota; Metazoa; Chordata; Aves; Accipitriformes; Accipitridae.